GGUGGAUAUAGUUCAAUAGGUAGAACGACUGUAUGUGGCAUAGUAUGUUCCCUGUUCAAAUCAGGGUAUCCUCC
This 74-nucleotide transfer RNA is filed under the name Dactylella tenuis. Its description in RNAcentral is "tRNA-His". Lineage: Eukaryota; Fungi; Ascomycota; Orbiliomycetes; Orbiliales; Orbiliaceae. The record is from RNAcentral. RNAcentral also lists the same sequence under 2 other names.